CGUUCGCCAAAUUCGUUUUCAUCGUGAUAUAAAACACGGUGGAUAUUGAGCCGUAUAAAUUCAUAUUCGUCCUCGUAAAAUUUCUCGUUAGACGAAGAAGAAUGAUCGUUAGAAGCGAUAUGGAAGAGCACGUGGUGGCAAAUCUGGCCAGAAAGACGACAAGCCACGCGGGAAGAAACGUUUUACGAUUGGUUGCGUAACGUUUCCGACGGCGGCCUUGACAUCGAUCCACAUCCAUAGGUAAGACGGAACACUCGUGAUUCACGCCACGAGAUGUCAGGUGUACCCGCGACUGCUCGUUUUACGAACGCUUAAAAGUUUAUAGGCGGCAGUAAACGGCCGCAUUUACCUUUAUUUCGCCGGUUCCCGGUCGGGCGAAACAACUCGUUUCUAAAGGGCCAUCCCGCAGGCCUUUUUAUUCCGAAUGCUUGUCUCUUCAUUCACUUUUGUAGACCGUUAUAUAGCGCCUCUCCCGUAAUACGAGACAGUCGAUUUGUCUUUGAGACGGGUUUUUACUGCUCCACUGACGAACGAGAAAUAAACUAGAAAUCGCUAAAUACGUAAUUACUGUCGUGCGCGCUUGCUGGAGAGAUGUUAUCGACGUAUGGUAAGAGCUCUAGUGUGGAAGUUUUGAUGGAAGUUUAUGGGAGUGUAAUUUCGUCGACGUUAGAAAGUGAAAUAGCGUGAUUCCGUGGAUACUGGAUGAAAUAAAUCUAGUGUGGUGUGAAAUUUAUAGAACGACAGAUUAUGAAAGACGAAGCGAAAAUUAGAAUACAUUUGGCGUUUGAAAUUACUUAUUUGAUUAUAGAAUGAUCUCCAAGAAAGAUUUCUUAAUAACGAGGAAAGCUCGAACAUAAAUGUUAUUCUAUAAGCGUUACGACAUGUGAUUCCAAUUAAAUAUCACUAACAAUAAGUAUUCGGAUAAUCGAUCGUUCGAAUCUUCGAAUCGGCAUACACAUGUGAAUCACGGCUAAACACAGCGUUUAAGGACAAGGCCAGAAACAAUCGAAUCACCGUUGAACGACGUGAAUUAUUGGCGCAGUUGGGAUACUACACCGUGGCCUGGAAUGAUCUACGACGAUCGUAAAACCUGCUCGAUCGUAAAUCGUCGCAGUGCAUUCUAAAGCCGUCGCAUAACGAUAGUAAUGACCGAUACGAACGAUCGAGCGUCGAUCGCUGUGAUUUCCAUUCAAAAUUCGCUUAAGCAUUCAUACGAACGGCACGAAUGAGCAUGGAACAAGUAGCGACGCCAAUCGAACGGUGAUCUCAUCGAUGAAUCACGAUCGUUAUUCCUUUUCCUUUCUGUUUUCGUUUUAAACCGGGUUAGCUGUCGGCAGCCACAGUUGUCUGCUCGCUGUUUAUACGUUUAAAUGUUAUUGCUCGUAAAAACGACACAUUACUAGUAGCUGUUUGUUCUUUUCCAAGUAUCUUGAAUGGAAUCUUAUCCGUUUUCUAUACCGGUGGCAAAGAUUUUUAUUUAUUUUAUUUUUUUUUUUUAAUUGAAAUGAAUUGAAAUUGUACGUGAAAGAUAGGUUAGGUUUGGCUAAUUGAUAUUUGAAAUUGUCCAGAUAAUGAUAUACUUUUGAUAUUUCUAAUGAAAUUUAAUUUUUCAUCAUUUUAUAUAUUUUCUUAAACGGCAUCGUUAAUUUUUUUUAAAUUAUUAUUUCAAUUUUUAUUAAUUUAUUGAUAAAAUUAAAAGGAUUAUUAAAUAUUGAAGAAUUUUAUCUCGAUGCCUAAUUAACGUUUACAUUCCACAAAUAAAUAAAUCAAAUUUUUUAUUUCUUUAUUAUCUAAAGAGUAAACACUACUUUAUCAUUUAUCUUUUCUUGUUUUUUAAAAAAUUUAUUAUACUUAUGUUUGAAUCACACUGCAAAGAGUGUAGAAGACGUAGCAUGACACAAUGUUGGUGCGAAAUUUCUCGUCAAAUGACAGCCUGACAUGAAUGAAGCCACGUAGGAUCAUAGAAACGACUAUUCAUCCGAGAGAACGAGCGAUUACGCAAGUUGUCGGUUUUAUGAGCAAAAUAGCGACUCUCGGGACGACAAGACUGCCAGCAGACAUGGGUCAAGUGAUGAUCUCAUUGACACGAUAUUCGUGAAAUUAAAACAAUAUCGUCUAAAAAUUUGAAAUCACUUUUCAAUCAAAUUAUAUAUUUUUUUUUGUUGAAAAUAAUUUAAGCAUAUCGAUAAAUUCUUUGCGAGACAAUUUUUUGAGGUUAGGAAAUCCUAAUUCGAUUUUUGAAAUUUAAAUAUUUUUCGAUUCGAAAUUUUCGACUGAUAAUAUAGAUUCACCGUAUAAAUUUUUAAAAUUGUCGAAAAUAUUUUAUUAUUCGAAGUUCGAAACGUUUUUUGUUAAUACUAGAUCGUUAAAUGUGAAAUUAGAUUAAUAUUCUACUAUUUAUAAAUUGCACGCAAGAUAUUUUUAU
Long non-coding RNA from Apis mellifera (honey bee), 2425 nucleotides. RefSeq lists it as uncharacterized. The record is from RefSeq and is a predicted model, not a curated record. Lineage: Eukaryota; Metazoa; Arthropoda; Insecta; Hymenoptera; Apidae. The transcript has 4 exons.